Molecule: ribosomal RNA, 494 nt
Filed under: uncultured bacterium
Lineage: Bacteria
Description: partial 16S ribosomal RNA
Rfam family: Bacterial small subunit ribosomal RNA
Source: RNAcentral
GACGAACGCUGGCGGCGCGCUUAACACAUGCAAGUCGAACGGAAAGGCCUGCUUUCCCUUGUGGAUUGCGGGUACUCGAGUGGCGAACGGGUGAGUAACACGUGAGUGAUCUGCCCCCAACUUGGGUAUAAGCCUUUGAUACUGGGUCUAAUUCCCGAUAGGACUGCAGGGUGGUGCCUGUGGUGGAAUACGAUUUUCUAGUGGUUGGGGAUGAGCUCGCGGCCUAUCAGCUUGUUGGUGGGGUAAUGGCCUACCAAGGCGGCGACGGGUAGCCGGCCUGAGAGGGUGGACGGCCAGAUUGGGACAGAGAUACGGCCCAGACGCCUACGGGAGGCAGGAGUGGGGAAUAAUGCAGAAUGGGCGGAAGCCUGAUGCAGCGACGCCGCGUGGGGGAUGACGGGCUUGGGGUUGUAAACUCCUUUCGACCGCGAGGAAGCCACCUGGUUGGAAGGGUGGUGACGGUAGUGGUAGAAGAAGCACCGGCUAACUACGUG